Molecule: ribosomal RNA, 256 nt
Filed under: uncultured bacterium
Lineage: Bacteria
Description: partial 16S ribosomal RNA
Rfam family: Bacterial small subunit ribosomal RNA
Source: RNAcentral
GACGUAGGUGGCGAACGCUAUCCGGAAUUAUUGGGCGUAAAGGGUGCGUAGGCGGCAUGAUAAGUUAUUGGCGGCAAAUCGAGGCUCAACCUCGUGGAAACUGAUAAUACUGUCUUGCUUGAGUGCAGAAGAGGUUAACGGAACUCCAUGUGGAGCGGUAAAAUGUGUAGAUAUAUGGAAGAACAUCAAUAACGGCGAAGGCAGUUAACUAUUCUGUUACUGACGUUGAGGCACGAAAGCGUGGGGAGCAAAAAGG